AUGAACGCUGGCGGCGUGCCUAAUACAUGCAAGUCGAGCGAACAGACGAGGAGCUUGCUCCUCUGACGUUAGCGGCGGACGGGUGAGUAACACGUGGAUAACCUACCUAUAAGACUGGGAUAACUUCGGGAAACCGGAGCUAAUACCGGAUAAUAUAUUGAACCGCAUGGUUCAAUAGUGAAAGACGGUUUUGCUGUCACUUAUAGAUGGAUCCGCGCCGCAUUAGCUAGUUGGUAAGGUAACGGCUUACCAAGGCAACGAUGCGUAGCCGACCUGAGAGGGUGAUCGGCCACACUGGAACUGAGACACGGUCCAGACUCCUACGGGAGGCAGCAGUAGGGAAUCUUCCGCAAUGGGCGAAAGCCUGACGGAGCAACGCCGCGUGAGUGAUGAAGGUCUUCGGAUCGUAAAACUCUGUUAUUAGGGAAGAACAAAUGUGUAAGUAACUAUGCACGUCUUGACGGUACCUAAUUAGAAAGCCACGGCUAACUACGUG
RNAcentral lists this ribosomal RNA (496 nucleotides) under uncultured bacterium. Its description in RNAcentral is "partial 16S ribosomal RNA". It matches the Rfam family "Bacterial small subunit ribosomal RNA", at positions 29 to 507 of the family's 1533-position model. The record is from RNAcentral.